RNAcentral lists this ribosomal RNA (976 nucleotides) under Balneolia bacterium. RNAcentral's name for it is "bacterial LSU rRNA". It matches the Rfam family "Bacterial large subunit ribosomal RNA", at positions 1955 to 2925 of the family's 2925-position model. The record is from RNAcentral. Lineage: Bacteria; Pseudomonadati; Balneolota; Balneolia.
GGUAGCGAAAUUCCUUGUCGGGUAAGUUCCGACCUGCACGAAUGGCGUAACGACUUCCCCGCUGUCUCGACCAGGGACUCAGUGAAAUUGAAUUCUCGGUGAAGAUACCGAGUACCCGCGGCUGGACGGAAAGACCCCGUGGACCUUUACUAUAGCUUGGCAGUGGGAUUCGGGUUAGCUUGUGUAGGAUAGGUGGGAGACAGUGAAGUUGGGACGCCAGUCUCGGCGGAGUCACCCUUGAAAUACCACCCUGGCUAGCCUGGCUCUCUAACUCAGCCCGGUGAAUCCCGUGGCGAGGACACUGUCUGGUGGGUAGUUUGACUGGGGCGGUCGCCUCCUAAAGAGUAACGGAGGCGCGCGAUGGUUCCCUCAGCCUGAUUGGAAACCAGGCGUCGAGUGUAAAGGCAUAAGGGAGCUUGACUGCGAGACUGACAGGUCGAGCAGGUGCGAAAGCAGGCCUUAGUGAUCCGGCGGUUCCGUAUGGAAGGGCCGUCGCUCAACGGACAAAAGGUACCCCGGGGAUAACAGGCUUAUCUCCCCCAAGAGUUCACAUCGACGGGGAGGUUUGGCACCUCGAUGUCGACUCAUCGCAUCCUGGGGCUGAAGCAGGUCCCAAGGGUAUGGCUGUUCGCCAUUUAAAGCGGUACGCGAGUUGGGUUUAGAACGUCGUGAGACAGUUCGGUCCCUAUCCGCCGUGGGCGUAGGAGAUUUGAGGAGGGCUGCCCCUAGUACGAGAGGACCGGGGUGGACGAACCACUGGUGAUCCUGUUGUUUCGCCAGAAGCAUCGCAGGGUAGCUAUGUUCGGAACGGAUAACCGCUGAAAGCAUCUAAGUGGGAAGCCGGCUCCAAGACUAGAUCUCCCGUGAUUUUUAUCACCUAAAGGGCCCUCGAAGACUACGAGAUACAUAGGCUGGGUGUGUACGCGCAGCGAUGCGUUUAGCUAACCAGUACUAAUAGCCCGUGCGACUUGACCAU